Molecule: ribosomal RNA, 305 nt
Filed under: uncultured bacterium
Lineage: Bacteria
Description: bacterial SSU rRNA
Rfam family: Bacterial small subunit ribosomal RNA
Source: RNAcentral
UUUUCCUACGGGAGGCAGCAGUGGGGAAUAUUGGGCAAUGGACGCAAGUCUGACCCAGCAACGCCGCGUGAAGGAAGAAGGCUUUCGGGUUGUAAACUUCUUUUAAGGGGGAAGAGGAGAAGACGGUACCCCUUGAAUAAGCCACGGCUGACUACGUGCCAGCAGCCGCGGUAAUACGUAGGUGGCAAGCGUUGUCCGGAUUUACUGGGUGUAAAGGGCGUGCAGCCGGGCUGACAAGUCAGAUGUGAAAUCCGUGGGCUUAACCCGCGAACUGCAUUUGAAACUAUUGGUCUUGAGUGCCGGAG